GAUCCUGGCUCAGAUUGAACGCUGGCGGCAUGCCUUACACAUGCAAGUCGAACGGCAGCACGGGGGCAACCCUGGUGGCGAGUGGCGAACGGGUGAGUAAUACAUCGGAACAUAUCCAGUAGCGGGGGAUAACCUAUCGAAAGAUUGGCUAAUACCGCAUACGAUCUACGGAUGAAAGCAGGGGACCGCAAGGCCUUGCACUAUUGGAGUGGCCGAUGUCAGAUUAGCUAGUUGGUGGGGUAAAAGCCUACCAAGGCGACGAUCUGUAGCUGGUCUGAGAGGACGAUCAGCCACACUGGAACUGAGACACGGUCCAGACUCCUACGGGAGGCAGCAGUGGGGAAUUUUGGACAAUGGGCGCAAGCCUGAUCCAGCCAUGCCGCGUGAGUGAAGAAGGCCUUCGGGUUGUAAAGCUCUUUCGGUGAAGACGAAACGGUUAGCGUUAAUAACGCUGACUAAUGACGGUACUCACAGAAGAAGCACCGGCUAACUACGUG
RNAcentral lists this ribosomal RNA (497 nucleotides) under uncultured bacterium. RNAcentral's name for it is "bacterial SSU rRNA". It matches the Rfam family "Bacterial small subunit ribosomal RNA", at positions 15 to 507 of the family's 1533-position model. The record is from RNAcentral.